CUAGGCUCAUCUUACAUCUACCU
Molecule: microRNA, 23 nt
Filed under: Prunus persica (peach)
Lineage: Eukaryota; Viridiplantae; Streptophyta; Magnoliopsida; Rosales; Rosaceae
Description: microRNA miRNA_137
Source: RNAcentral